This 1407-nucleotide long non-coding RNA is filed under the name Canis lupus familiaris (dog). RNAcentral's name for it is "lncRNA (ENSCAFG00040001916.1)". Lineage: Eukaryota; Metazoa; Chordata; Mammalia; Carnivora; Canidae. The record is from RNAcentral.
AUGGACGGACGGACGGACGGACGCAGGAGGCCGGGCUUCCGCCCCGGGUCUCGGGCUGGGCUGGGCGUGGCCCCCCCCCCACCCCCCGCCCUCGCUGCGGACCCAGCGCACCUGCUCUCCUGCAGGUGCGCGCGCGGGGAGCCCGGGGCUGGGCUCGGAGUCCCCCGCGCGGCCGGGACUGGGGGGCCGAGUGGGGAGCGAGGCUCGCGGGGGAGGAGCUGCGGGAGGGCGGCGAGGAGGAGCGGCGGGCGCGGGAAGGCGAGCGCCGAGCGGGAGCCGCAGGGCGCGGGCCGGGCCGAGCCCCCGGGGCGGCGGAGACACGCGGCGGCGCGCGAGGAAGCAGGACCCCGGGGGCGGGCCCGGAGCAGGCUCGAAAUGAUCAGUGGGACAGGAACCAAAAUUAAGUGCCUCGUGAUGUGUCAAGAUGAACCUAGGAAAAUGGUGAACUGUUGACUGGACUGCUUCUCUGAAUCUGCCGGUACUUCUUUUUGUCCCUAGUUUUAAAAGUUCCCCAGAGGAAAUCUGAAACCCAGACUCUUCUCAGAAUAGGAUGGGGGGGAAUUCUAAAGUUCUCAUUAAACACAUUUAUCCCUCAAGCUUUGGAAGGAGCCAAAAAAUGCCAAAAGCGAGAAUCCCAAAGCACUGCCCACACUGGUGUGAUAUCCUGGUAGAUGUCUAACAAAUUCAGCAUGUGUCCCCUGGGCUUGAACAUUUGCUGGGCAAAGGUCCAGAAUAGUGAGACAUCUUGGGAUUCAUCUGGUUUAGGAAAGACUUUUAACUACCAGCCGUCACCUCACUGUUCUUCAAGUAGUCAAGUCUUGAGGUCUUCUCAGUGUGGGCUGUUCUGAUGGAGGGCCCCCCACCAGCAUGAAGCAGAAGGAUGACCUCGUCCGUAGGCAGGACAACUGUGAAGAGAGCUGCGUGUGUCCAAGUCUGUGGGAAGAGAGAGCCACCUAGAAUGUCCCCGCCAAACCAGUCACUGGAAGGCCUUCUCCAGGAGGCCUCCAACAGAUCCCUGAAUGCUACGGAAACCCCAGAGGCCUGGGGUCCAGAGACACUCCAGGCCCUCAAGAUCUCUCUCGCUCUGCUCCUCUCCAUCAUCACGAUGGCCACAGCCCUCUCGAACGCCUUUGUGCUCACCACCAUCUUCCUCACCAGGAAGCUCCACACCCCGCUAACUAUCUCAUUGGCUCCCUGGCCAUGACUGACCUCUUAGUGUCCAUCUUGGUCAUGCCCAUCAGCAUGCCUAUACCACCACCCGCACCUGGAGCUUUGGCCAAAUCCUGUGUGACAUCUGGCUGUCUUCUGACAUCACAUGCUGCACGGCCUCCAUCCUGCAUCUCUGUGUCAUCGCUCUGGACAGGUACUGGGCCAUCACCGAUGCCCUGGAGUAUAGUAAGCGCCGCA